RNAcentral lists this transfer RNA (73 nucleotides) under Paramuricea clavata. It matches the Rfam family "tRNA". Rfam says of the family: Transfer RNA (tRNA) molecules are approximately 80 nucleotides in length. Lineage: Eukaryota; Metazoa; Cnidaria; Anthozoa; Malacalcyonacea; Plexauridae. The record is from Rfam by way of RNAcentral.
GACCGCGUAGCUCAGUUGGAAGAGCAUUGGGCUAGUAUUCCAAAGGUCGUAGGUUCGAAUCGUACCGUGGUCG